RNAcentral lists this ribosomal RNA (391 nucleotides) under Herbaspirillum rubrisubalbicans. RNAcentral describes it as "partial 16S ribosomal RNA". It matches the Rfam family "Bacterial small subunit ribosomal RNA", at positions 959 to 1354 of the family's 1533-position model. The record is from RNAcentral. Lineage: Bacteria; Pseudomonadati; Pseudomonadota; Betaproteobacteria; Burkholderiales; Oxalobacteraceae.
ACGCGANAAACCUCACCUACCCUCNACAUGGUCGGAAUCCUNAAGAGAUUUGCUAGUGNUCGUAAGAGAACCGGCGCACAGGUGCUGCAUGGCUGUCGUCAGCUGGUNUCGUGAGAUGNUGGGUUAANUCCCGCAACGAGCGCAACCCUNGUCAUUAGUUGCUACGAAAGGGCACUCUAAUGAGACUGCCGGUGACAGGCCGGAGAAAGGUGGGGAUGACGUCAAGUCCUCAUGGCCCUNAUGGGUAGGGCUUCACACGUCAUACAAUGGUACAUACAGAGGGCCGCCAACCCGCGAGGGGGAGCUAAUCCCAGNAAGUGUAUCGUAGUCCGGAUUGUAGUCUGCAACUCGACUACAUGAAGUUGGCUUCGCUAGUAAUCGCGCAUCAGCA